This 253-nucleotide ribosomal RNA is filed under the name uncultured bacterium. RNAcentral describes it as "partial 16S ribosomal RNA". It matches the Rfam family "Bacterial small subunit ribosomal RNA", at positions 524 to 776 of the family's 1533-position model. The record is from RNAcentral.
UACGUAGGGGGCAAGCGUUGUCCGGAAUCAUUGGGCGUAAAGAGCGUGUAGGCGGCCCGGUAAGUCCGCUGUGAAAGUCCAGGGCUCAACCCUGGGAUGCCGGUGGAUACUCCCGGGCUCGAGCACUGUAGAGGCAGGUGGAAUUCCGGGUGUAGCGGUGGAAUGCGUAGAGAUCCGGAAGAACACCGGUGGCGAAGGCGGCCUGCUGGGCAGUUGCUGACACUGAGGCGCGACAGCGUGGGGAGCAAACAGG